AGCAGACAUGGUCGUGUGGGACCUCUAUCUUUCUUCUACGACAAUCAUCGCCUUAUUUUUUAUUACUUAUAGUGGCGGCCCACGUCAGUUUUCUAUCUAAUCGUCGUUUAAUCUCAAAGGUAUUUUACGAAAGUGUUUUAGGGUUCACUAAUACAGCUUAUGGUGGAUUCCAUAUCUUCUUCUUCCUCCUCCUUUAAUUUAAAAAUAAAUUAUAUUUUUUAUUCAGUAAUAAAAAAUAUUUCGAAAUAGUUUGUGCAUUAGUCGAGACUAAACAAAAAAACAUAUCUAGCAUUAUUUUAUUUAAUUGAAACGUUAAGCUUUGGAUUUUUAAAGGACACAGCCAAAUUAGAAUUUAAGCACCACGGCAUUAAUUAGAGAAAUAAUAAUUAUGUUGAGAAACUUGGAAGACAUGGAUUUUAUUUUUAUAAUAAUUCGAAAAAUAAUUAAUCACCGUUAUUUUUAAAAACAUGAAGGUUUAAUUAUCUGGGAGGCAGCAAUACAUACCUCUUUCCAGCACUUCUUUCACAGUUAUUACAAUAUUCCAUGCAAUCAAAAACUUGAAUACCAUGCUAUUAAAGUUUAUAUGAUUAUUAAUUUUAGAAUUUGUAGAAAUAAUUAAAAUACAUAAAAGUUAAUUGGAUACUAAUAUUUAUAAUAAUAAAAAACUUAUUUAGAAAAGAAAACAUAAACAAAAAGAAAAAGGUGAAAAUAGCUUUUUUUUUUUUUUGAUUUCAGAUUAGAAUAGCCGCCUUGUUUUACAGGUGGAUUGACUAGAAUAAUUAACGCAGGCAAUGAAUUAUUGAGAGCCUUUUGGACUUGGUGCACACUGCCUCAUUUAUGAACAUUACAAGUAUUUUAAAAUUGGAAAAUAUGGUAAUGAUUUGAAAUUCAAAAUCUUGAUGGAAAAUCUAACCUGUAGGUUUUAAAUUAACUUAGUUUUAAUAAAAUAAAGUUAAAUUUAAAAGAAAAAACAGGACCAGAAAAAAGUUUGAGCAUGCACACCAUGUCAUUAUUCAAUUAAUAAAUAAGUUAUGGAAAGAACACAUGAACCAUAUUAAAAAACCAUAACUCUUAAUCAAAUGAACCAUGUUUUUACUGAAAUGAUUGAUGGAGUUUGUAAUUAACUAAUAGUCUCGGCAUGCUAUGAAACUAACCAUAAAUCAUGCUCGGUUUUUUUAGCUAAAGUUAAUACAUGCAAGAAAACCACUUACAGAAAGGCUGGGGAGUCGCUGAAUUUGGCUUCGAGAGGAGCUCUAAAAGGAAAAACAGGCACAGGAACAACCUCCGUUUGCUUGGCAGUGACCAUGACCACGACAGCAGUCACUGAGGCUGCAAACAACAAGACCCUGAGAGCAACAUGAACAGAAGAAUAGUUGGAACGGCGAGGAGGGGCCGCAAGUGCCUCCUCGGACUUGAUGGAUUCACGGUGAUCAGGCUUAUCAGUGGAUGCCAUGAGGGUUUGGUUAUACGGUGGCCGGCUAGCUAUUAUGGUUUGUUCAAUAUGCAGCAAGCGAUAUGUUCAAGAGUGGUCGAAAGUUGAUAUUGUACCAACAAAGAUGUGUCCUGUAAGCAUUUAUAUAUUUUAUUGUGGUGGCUAAAUAAAAUGGGAAUCCAAUAAAAAUUAAUAAUUGAUUAUUAAAUAAAUAAAAACUGGUUGGUGAUACCGCCGCCACAGGUGAUUUCAAGAAAAUUGAAUUGAAUGGAUAGUUGACAUUGAACGGUAAGCUGCCUAAUGUGAACAAACUUUGGAGCAUAUUUGUUAAUUAAAUCCAUACCAAGACAUGUUGAUUUGAGAAAUUGGUGAUUCAGAAUCUGACUUGUGCCGGUUUCAGGGAGAGCCAAAAGAAAGUAGUGAUUGAAACCCUGAAGUUUAAUCUAAGCGGGCUUCAAGUUGAUGCUGAAAAUAUAUUAAUCCAGUGAAAUCAUGUUCAUACUUGAUGAAGUCAAUAAUAAUAAAAAAUAUUAUUUUAAUUAAUUAGUAGUUUUUUAGAAAUUUGUUGAUGUUGAUAUAGCAUAUGUAUCUGUUUUCACGUGCUGUGUUGUUUUUUAUUUUUGACCCACAAAAAAUUAAGGAAAAAGAAAAAGAAAAUUUAAAAAUACAAAAGGAUACAUAUUUCGAAGCUCAAAAAAUUAUCCAGGUUGAUGAUGAAAAACCAAAAUAACAAGUGAAAAAGUUGAAAUACUAGAAUGUACAAGAUUGAUAAAAUUAGCAACCCAAUUCUGAUUGAAAAAAGACUUAUUUGGUGAGAAUAUUUUUAUUUAGAGUAAUGGUUCAAAUGCACAAAUUAAAAAUCAAAAAUCAAGAUGAAAAUGACAAUAAGCUUCGGAGCUCAUAUUUGAGUCUAGCGAGGGUUAAAUUAACUACAAUUAAAAGUUUUUUUUGUCAAUUAAAGGUGAAUAUUCCAUAAUUAGAAGAAUAUGGACUAAAAUAAAAACUGUUAGAUCCCAAAUUAAAAACCCUAAGUUUUAGGGAUUUAACAUAGAUGAUGUGUCAUUCAACCUCUGUUUAUCUUUUUCCUUGGUAAUUUUAGAUGAUUAGGUUGGUAUAUUUUAAGAGCUCGCUGAGGAGUUCUAAACAACCAAAUUUGUUUUAGUCUGAUAAAGUGUUAAAGUGUUAAAUUUGUUUGAAAUUUGCUAUGGGUUGCAUUUUAUGUUGUUGGGUUCAGGUUUGAAUAUUCUUUCAUGUUAUUUAUUUUGUUCGUGUUUGAUCUAUUUUAUAUACUAAAUUUUCUUUGUGGUUGCCAAAACAACUUCUGUAAAUAUUGCUCUCAUUUGCUAAGCAAGUUGCUAGAAGUCAGAGUUGAAGAAGAUGGUGGAAUGCGUGUAACUUUUCCUCUUGAUAUUUCCAUGUUGUCGGUUAUUGAGAACAAGCAACAACAAGAUUCACAGAAAUUGGGAUAGGAAACUAAACAAAGCUUUUAUUCAAGUUUCCACAGACGACGCUACUAAUAAAGUUAGUAAAAACUUCUAUGAAUAUCUGGAUCUUUUUCCUCGCUGGUAUUGACCAGACUUGUAUUUUUAUAGUUAGGGUUACCUGUAAAAUAAAAACUAUAAUUCUUAAAUCAGUUUAAGUUUUUUUUGUUAAGAUGUUUAUCAACAGAGGAUAUAUUUGUUUCUAACUUAUUGGAGUCAUGGUUCAUUUAGGAAACCCUUUUUAUAUUCUUAAGUUUGAGAAUAUCAUUCCUCUCUCUCUCUCUCUCUAUAAUAUAUAUAUAUAUAUGGUAUAAGAGAUAUAAUAAUCUAAGAAAAGGUUCCCAGCUAGGCCACCAACCCCUGAGAAUAGUAAAAGCACUGUCUUCGAAAUUGAAGAAUCCAGAUCACCUGUUCUGACCCAGAUCAGCCACCGAUCGAGACACGUUGCCUUUUCUUAUUCUAUUUGCUUCCUUUUUACGAAAAUGGAGGAGCAUUGCUUCUUUUUAUAAUGGUGAUAAUCAAUUGCCAGCAAUCAACACUAUACGAUCGGAGACUAUAUUGCCAAAGCUUCCUUGUAAAGAAGAUAUCAAGAAGAUAUUUGCCACCUUACCACCUAAUAUAUAUAUAUAUAUAUAUAUGGUCACAAGACAAGUUGGAGCAAUCAUCUUGAGAAUUAUUAUUAUUAUUAUAUAUUAUGGAGGGGAGGGGGGGCGAAGUUUGGCUGUAAAGAAACCUCCUGUUGUUUUUCUUUUUGUUGAAAUGCCAAUUAAUCACAGGAUUUCCACAAUCUCAUUGCCUUCGAAUUCCAAAUCUCUUCCUUCAAUUUAUAUUCAUUCUUGAUUGUUUUUUGGAUUCGAAUCUUAAAAUCAAACUUCUUUCGGAAAAAAAUAUUAUUUUCCUUGAAUACACUAAGUUAAUACGAAGAGUAUAAUAUUCGAAUAAUUAUCCAUUAAAAAAACAUUUAGUCUUAGUUGAAGAAGUGUAGAAGCUUAUAAAAAAUACCCAUAACUGUAAGGGGGAAAAGAGGAUAUGUAAAUUGUUUUGAAUAUUUUUAUCCAAUCUUUACUUGCGAGCACAAAAAGCAAUCGUUGUGUUUUAAUCCUUCUUGUUUGUUGCUAUACCAAAAUGGAUUUUCUUUAAUGGGUUGUGUUUCAAUAGGUAAUAUAAAAUUUUUAUUUUAUAAAAAUUAAAAUAAUUUGUUUUUCAUUCACUGAAAUUUGCUUUUCAUUUAUUUUACAUAUACAAAUUUAUUUCAUAAUAUUUUUAAUCAAAUAUAUAUUUUUAAAACCUAUUUUUUAAAACCAUAAAUAAAAAUAUCUUUUAAAACUAUAAUUGUAGAAAUUAUCACAGUACUAAACAAACAAACAGAUAUACAAUCAUGCUUGAAAAUACCAUAAAAGAAUAUGCUCUUCUAAUCACUUCUCUACCAAACUCAGAAGAUCAAGAUAAAAACUUCAACAAACCAGUUAGCUACUUGUUGAUGAUAACCCCAUCGUUCCUAACUGAGCUUUAAUGAAUGUUUUAAUCCAAAUUAUAGCAUUAAUAGUAACUUGUGUAGAUCACCUAUCUAUUGACUGUGAAACAUAGCAUAUCCUUUAAUUCAACCUUCAUCCCAAAUUAAUUGAUUUUUUUAAUAAUUUAUAGCAAUUUGAUUUCGUGAUCAACAACAGUGAUGUAACAUAAAACUUAAAUCUUGACUUUUGUAAAGAAAUAUGAAAAAAUAAGAAAGAUUUUGGAAAUUUCCUACAUUCAAAUUAGGGUAGAAAGGCUUUCACACGACCAUGUUUUGAUGGAUGCAUGCAUGGUUGACAUUAAAGAAUCUCAUUAUUUUGUUAUUAUUCAGAAUAAUUCUGUCUUUUAUACAAGAAUAUCUGAAUAUGUGAUGGAAAUAAAAUUUGGAGAGACUUUUUAGUUUUUUUUAAUUAAAAUAGCACAACAAGUUAAAAAUAUUGAUGGAAUGGAAUAAUUUAAAAAAUAAUUAGUCAAAUAAUACAGAGUCGAGCUAUCACAAUUCUGAUUUGCAGUACCUUAUCCUUUCAUGUUAUGAAAUCAUGACGUGUCACAAAAUUUAAUCCUAACAUCGCUGUUAUUAAUAUCGUGUUUUGUAAGAAAUUCAUCAUUGAAAAACACGACAUUUACUUAUAUUUUAUAUUUCUUUUUUUGAAACCAUGGAAAGCGUAAGCUGUGAUAUAUUACUAAAAUAUUAAAUUUUCUACGCUAACGGCCGGAAAUAGCGGACGUUUUAUAUGGGAGCUGGUUCAGACAACUGUCGUUGGAUGUUGAUAUCCUCCGUUCGUCCAGGCAAGACGUUCGCGGCGGGCUGCUUGUAUCUUUUUAAGGCAAAUGGCAAAUGGCAAAUGGCAAAUCUCUCCCCGUAGCAAAAACAAAGAUAAUUUCUUCAAAUUAUUUAAGGAAAUUGAGAGUUAUAGGGAGAAAUAAGUUGCAAAAAAGGAUGUUACACAUGGACAAUAAAAUAAGUUUAAUUCGUUGAUUGCCUUCAAAGUUAUUUAUCUUUGUCCAUGUGGUAUAAUUUCAAAAUAAUAAUGUCGUAAUUUAUACAGUAGAGUCAUUUUAGUCAUUUAUAUCAAGAAUUGAUGUCAUAAUUUAAAUGUUUUGCUCUAUACCUUAGCAGUUUUGAAAUUCGUGUAAUUUAUAAUUUAGUCAUUACUUUCCAUUUCAUCUAAUUUUUUAUUAAGGAGUUAAACUUUCUAUAAUCAUCUUACUUUAUUAUUUAUUCAAGAACAGCAUGGUAGCGAAUUUAGGAUGAACAUUGGUAUAAAGAUUAAUUUUAUCGUUUGUAAUUGUAUUGAUGUGAUAAAUCAAGAGAUUGAUAUUGCUAAUAUAAUGAUUAUUGAAAAUUUAUAUUGUCGUUAACUUCAAGAUUUAUAGAAUUAGUUGAGAUACGUGUAAGUUGGGUUCGACAUCUAAAUUAAUAAAAAAACAAUUAUAAUUGAUUUUUUUAUAUAACAAACCAACUGUAUCCAAAAACUUAUGGGAAGGGAAAGAUGGAAUUAGAAAGCGAAAGACUUUUAUAACAAGAUUAAGGAAUAAAAUAUUUUCUUGAACAUUGAUAGUAGUUUAUUUUUAUAUUUUUUAAAUAAAAAGUUGUCAAUUUGCCUCAUGGUUUAACAGCAAGCGUGACCAAGUUUAUAUAUGACAUUAAAUGUUUCCGUGAUUAUCUAAUAUUUAAAUUUAUGUCUUUUUAAUUAAAUUUUGUUAUAAUUAUCUAAUUUUUAAAUAUUUAAGUAUGUAUUUCUCAUUAAAUGUUGCCAUAAUUAUCUCAUAUUUAAAUAUUUUUUUUGACUUUUUCAUUAAAUGAUGAUUAGUGAAAUGUGAGAUUAGUGUGUGGCUGUGAUGUGGCGGGGUUGAAUAAAUCCUUUAAAUAGAUGCGCUAUGCCCAGUUAACAAAAUAUUAAAGGUUUUAAUCUUGAGGGGUGUAGCUCAAUUGGUUAGGCCCUAGGUUUGCUUUCUAGAGAUCAACAGUUCAAGUCUCACAAACCUUAAAGUCACUUGAGGCUUAUAUCUAUUAACUUCAACGCUUGUGAAAUUAGUUGAGGUGCGCGCAAGCUGGUCCAAACAUCCAUGUUAAUAAAAAAAAAAAUUAAAGGUGUUGACAAAUCAUUGGAGUCCACGCCACUACACGACCAUUUACACACAUGCAAUUCAUUAUAUAAUUAUUUAUUUUACUUGAUUAAAUCAUUUUAUGACAAAAGUAAUGAUCAACUCAUGUAAAAUUUCUAAGAAAAGGUAAUUUGAAAGUAUGAUGAUAAAAGUGAAUAAAAAAGAGAACAUAAGUGGUUGUAAACUUGAAGGAAACAGUGAAGUAGAAAAUGUAUUUUUCUCUCUUGAAUGUUACAGAUACAAGGUUACUCUUUAUAGAAUUAGGGUACAUCAUAAUAAUCUUAACAGAAAAUCUUAUCAACAUUUAAAAUUCAGUAGAAGACAUGGGGUAGAUCAGAUCAAUUGGUCUUCCUAAUCUUCCUCUAGAUUUUUCUCUUGUUGAUAGCUACAGUUGCUUGAUUUGCUGAGCAGUUCCAUAUUUUCCUCUACACGCCCCCUCAAUCUGAAGGGAAGAGCUCAAACAUUCAGAUUGGCCAAAUUAUUUUGAAACUUGCAUGGAGACAUUGGUUUUGUCAGUGAAUCAACAAGUUGAUCUUUAAUAGAAAUGAACUGAACCGUAAGUUGCUUUCUUUGAACUUGAUCACGCACAUAAUGAAAAUCAAUUUCGAUGUGCUUAAUAUGAGCAUGAAACAUAGGAUUAGCAGUCAAGUAUGUGGCUCUAAUAUUAUCACACCAUAACACUGGGGGGUUUGGAAUUUUGAAGCCAAUUUUAGAUAAAAUUGAUUGCAACCAUUGGAGUUUCGAGGCAAUGUCUGCAAGAUACAUAUAUUUAGCUUCUGUGCUACUACGAGCAACUAUAAAUUGUUGCUUGUAACGCCACAAGAUAAGAUUGUUACGUAUGAAAACACAAUAAACACUUAUUGACCGUCAAUCAUCACGAUCACUUGCCCAAUCAAAAUUUGAAAAAGCUUGAAUUGUAGAGUUAGGAGUCUGACCAAGAAAUAGUCCCAUUAAUAUGGUAUGUUUAAGAUAACGUAGUAUUCGUUUUACUGCUUGCUAAUGUGGCUCCAACAGGUUAUGCAUGAACUUGCUUACUUUAUGAAUUGAGAAUGAAAUAUCAUGUCGAGUAAAUGCCAAAUAUUGUAAGCUGCCAACAACCUGUCUAUAGAGAGAAGGAUCUGAAAACUUAGAUUCUUCGGUUGCAGAUAGGUGACAUGUAGUUGGCAUAGGACUUGUACAUGGUUUUGCUUCUGCCAUGUGAGUGCGGUUUAGAAGUUCAGCCAUAUACUUUCUAUAAGUGAGAUGCAUACCAUCAGUUGAGCGCAAGACCUCUACCCCCCAAAAAUAGCUAAGAUCACCAAGCUCUUUAACAACAAAAUCUAAAUAUAAGUCUUGAAGCACAUGUUGGAUGGCAGUACUAGAAUUGCUUGUGAUGAUAAUAUCAUCAACAUAAAUAAAAAUCACAACCAAAACAUCAUUUUUGUGCCAAAUAAACAAAGAAGGGUUUGCUUUGCUAGCAUGGAAUCCAAUCGCCCGUAGUUUAUCUAUUAGAUGAGAGAACCAAGCUCUUAGAGCUUGUUUCAAGCCGUAGAUUGACUUAUGUAGUCUGCAAAGAUGAUUAGAAUAUUGGGGAUGGAUAUAGCCUUGAGGUUGGGCUAUAUAAACUUUCUCUUCCAAUUCACUGUGUAGAAAUGCAUUUUGGAUAUCAAUUUGUUUAAUAUGCCAGUUAUAAGAAACAACCAAGGACAAGACUAUUCAAAUUGUAGCAUGCUUGACAAUAAGACUGAAUGUCUCAUUAAAAUAAUUUUCUUCUUGUUGAUGAAAGCCCUUGGCAACUAACCUGCCCUUAAACCUCUCUAUGGAACCAUCAUCAUUUUUUUUUAAUUUCGUAUAUCUAGCGGCAACCAAAGAUAUUGGCUUUAGGAAGAGGAGAAACUAAUGACCAAGUCUCAUUGCGUAGAAGAGCAUCAAACUCUGCAUUCAUUGUUGUUCGUAAUUGUGGUGACUUGACUGCAUCAUUAUAACAUAUUGGUUCUACAUCAGAAGAGUGAAGAGAGGUAAGUAAUGCUUUAGGUAAAUGAUACCAUAUAAAAGCAUCAGAGUUAGCUUUUGGUUUAAAAAUAUUGUUUCUUGAUCUGGUAAUCAUGGCAUAGGUGCUGGUAUUGCCUUGCAUUACUAUAGGAUUUAAGAUGGGUUGAAGAGGUGUCUCUAAUAAACUGAAGGAGAUGUGCUGGUUAGCAACAAGUAUGUCUGGCGAGGAGAUAAAAGUAGUAUACCUAACAGGUGGUCCUUCGUUUGUUCAUGCAGAUAGAAUCAGUAGUUGCAGAUGGUAUACUUUGAGUUUGCAUAUCAUUAAAUCUGGCAGGUAGUGGUGCUGGAAGAUGGAAAGGCAAGGUAACAUGUGUGGAUGAGCUGGAUUUUGAGGACAGUAUAGAGGAAACAUUUUUCUGGUAAGGGAACAUAUUUUCAUCAAAUAUUACAUGACGAGACACAUAAACGCUAUCAGUUGAUAAAUCAAGGCACUUGUAUCCAUGAUGAUUAACACUAUAACCUAUGAAAAUACAGGAAUUGCUUCUGAAAUCCAAUUUAUGUUUAUUAUAGGGUUUAAGAUUAGGCCAACAUGCACAUCCGAAGACACGUAAGAAAAAAAAAUCUGGGAUCCGGUUAUAAAGCAUUUCAUAAGGUGACAAAUUAUUGAGGAUGGGUGUUGGGAGGCGAUUAAUUAAAAACGUUGCAAUUGUAAAGGCAUCUUCCUAAUAAAGAAGAGGUAAAUUUGAGUGUGCUAAUAAACUAAGGCCUACUUCAACAAUUUGUCUAUGUCUUCGUUUAAUUGAACCAAUUUGUUGGUGAGUAUGAGGGCAUCCAAUACGAUGAGCUAUGCCAUUGGUUGAAAAUAAUUAUGAAGUCUACGAUAUUCACCACCCCAAGCUAAUUGUACGACCUUUAUUUUACUACUACAUUGGUUUUCCACAUAACAUUGAAAUUGAAGAAAACACACUCAACAUCAUAUUUGAAUUUAUUGGGAACUAAAUAUAAGAAUUUAGAAUAAUUAUCUAGAAAACUAACAUAGUAUCGAGCACCGGUAGUUGAGGCUACAGAUGCUGGACCUCAAACAUCGGUAAAAAUUAAGUCUAAUGGAGAUUUUGAAACAUAAGUUGAAUUAGUAAAAGGCAAAGCAUGACUCUUUGCUAAUUGGCAAUCCGGACACACAUAGUGCCCUUUUAUUUUAUCAACUAGCAGUUUAUUUGAGGAAAAAACACGUUGAACAACUUGAGAAGCAGCAUGACCAAGGCGACGGUGCCACUAAUCAAAUGAAAUGCGAACACUUGAAAAGGCUUGAGGAGGAACAUUUUUGGUUGAGAAAUGGUACAACCCAUUACUGAUAUGGCCUCGAUAAAGGACGGUCCCCGAGUAAUCCUUCACAAGAAAAUAUUGAUCAUGAAACUCAAAAUGAACAUUAUUGUCAGUACAUAAUUUUUGGACAGAAAGUAAGUUUUUCUGAAUUUAAAGGACUAAAAAAACUUGAUUCAAUACAAAGGAAUGAGAGGAUGUAUGAAUAGAGGAAUUGCCAGUUUUAAAGAUAUAGAAACCUUGACCAUUGCCAACUUAAAGUUGAUAUGUACUGGUAUAGUCAUCACUCAUUGUCCCAGCCACCAUUGUUUGCUGUAAUAAAAGCCUGUUUAUUUGGAGGAGAAAAAGAAUGUUGAUAGGUGAGAUCAAAACGAUGGUAGCAAUUGCGAGCAAAAUGGCCAUGUUUUCCACAUACUUGACACACAAUAGUAGAAGAAUUAUAUGUGUCUCUUCUAUUGUAGGAGAAAGCACCCCCUCCAAGAUAGUUGUUAUGACGACCUCUACCCCGAGAACCACCUAUACUCCUAUUGUUGGAUGAUGGCAGUUGUUUUUGGGUAAUAUGUGUUUCAGCAAGGGGUGUAGGAGUAGAUAGAUGAUGAUGAGUUAGACGAGAUUCUGUAACAAUUAUAAGAGAGUAUACCUCUUCAAGUAUGAUUGGAUCAUUACAAGCAUAGAUAGAGGACACAAAGCUAUCAUAUUCAUGUCCUAACCCAGCAAGAACAUAAGAAAUGAUGUCAUCACAUUUGAGAGGUUGGCCAGCCAUAGCAAGUUCAUCAGCUAAUCUUUUGAUCAAUAUGAAAUAAUCAUUGGCAAAUUGACUGCUUUUCUUUGCAUUGGCAAGUUGAGUUCGAACUUGGAUGGUACGAGCUUGAGAUUAUGAGGAGAAGUUUGUUUCAAGUGCUCGCUAAACCUAAUGAGAGGUGGCAUAAGAGAUUAUUUGAGCUAAAACACCCUCAAUCAUGGAAGUCAUGAGAGUGCUAAGGAUUAGAUUGUCCUGUCACAACCAUUGAAAAUACACAUGAUUUGAAAUUUGGGUGAGUGCACCUGUAUCAAGAUACAAACUAUCAAUCAUUUGGGGAGGAAGAAUGAGUGUACCAUCAAGGUAGCCAUACAGGUCUUGUCCACGAAAAUAGUGCAGUAAUUAUAUCUUCCAAAGAGGAUAAUUAUCAGGAGCCAACUUGAGUGAAACAAUAUUAGAGAUUGAAAUUAUUGUGGGGAUCAAAGAGGAGGAGUUAAAGAUUGUAGUGGACGAGGAAGGAAAGGAAGACAUGAUGAGACGCUAGUCUUUUUGUAGCUUUGAUACCAUGUAAACUUGAAGAAAAUAGUGAAGUAGAAAAUGUAUUUUUUCUCUCUUGAAUGUUACAGAUACAAGGUUACUUUUUAUAAAGUUUGGGUACAACAUAAUAAUCUUAACAUAAAAUCUUAUCAAUAUUUGAAAUUCAACAUAAGACAUGGGGUAGAUCAGAUCAGUUGGUCCUCUUAAUCUUCCUCCAGAUUUUCCUCUUGUUGAUAGCUACAGUUGCUUGAUUUGUUGAGUAGUUCCACAUUUUCCUCUACAGUGGCGAUUCAAAAUUAGAUUUAAAAGUUCACUUUGUUCCUCAUACUUUUAAAAGAUAAUAUUUUGGUUUUGAAAUAGGUUUGAGAAUUCAAUUUUGAUAUAAAACUUUAUUUUAUUUAUUUAAAUUUUAAUAAAAAAAUUUAUUUUACUUAUUUUCUAGUUUAAGAGAGGAGAGAGAGUCACCAAAUUUCAACAGUAGAGAGAGAAAAUUAUUGGCAAACCCAAUUUCAACCACUAAAAAAUGUUAAUUUUAGAAUCCACAAGUCUCAUUCGAUGUGUGGAGUUUAACUUGGGUAUUAUUUCACCUUAAAACUGUCUAAGAAGAUAAAUCUCACCGUAGUAACCUUUUGGAUUUCAGGUUGAUUUUCUAUUUUUUUUUAUUGAUUUUUAGGUGGUUUGAAGGUAUAAAAGAGGUUUGUGUGGGUAUUUAUGUUAUUUUAUAAGUGUUUUGGGUCAAAAAACAUUUAAAUAAUUUUAAAGGGUUUAAAAACCCAUGUUCUAGUUUUUUAAUGACUUGUUGGUCACUAGAAACUAGAGAUGUUGACGAUGGAUAAUAUGUUGUAGUAAAUAAUAUGUCAUCUUUGUAGCUUAUAAAAGUUAAAUGGACAAGCACAUACGCUCAUGCCCUUCCUAUUGGGGUAAUUUAUUAGGCCAAAGCUCAUGGGCUUCUUUUUAAAGGGUUUUUCUUUAAUUUAUUUAAAUAAAGUUAAAGAAUUUAUUUUUUUUAAAAUAAAAAAUAAAAACUUUUGUUUAAAUUUUGGUGGGAUGAAUUUUUUUAUCACUCAACUUUAAUAAAAAAGUACAUUUUGAUUUCAUGAAAUUAUCAUAGUCUCAUUAUUUAAGUUGUGAAUUUAGUAGAUUAACUUGAAUUUUUUUUUUUUGUAUUUUUUUAUAAUUGCAUACUUCAAUAAUAAGUUGGUUAUGAACUAGUCUUUGAGUCCGUUUGUUUGCAUGGUUGCUUCUAUGUUUGAAGCAUCCACAACAAAUAUUAUGUUUGGUCACAUCAAAAACACAGUUUAAUUUUGGUGGACCCCAUAAUAAUUAAAGUUUUGAACGUGAAUUUUGCGAAGCAGCUCCUAGCUACUUUUCAAAAUUCAGAGUUUACGUGUACAGUGCAAUUCAAUUGCACUGUGCACGCAAACAAUGCAAUUCAUUUGCACUGUUUGCGUGAACAAUUUUUUUUUUUAGUGUGUUUAUUUUUUGUACAUUUGUUUUUUUAAAAAAAACUAGUUUAAAGUGAAUUAAAUUUACUUGUACUAUCAUGUAAAUAAUAUUUUUUUUUCUAGAAAAAGUAGUGUAGAGUGAAUUAAAUUCACUCGCACUGUAAUAUCAAAUUAAUUUUAUUCAUGAUAAUAUUUUAUCUAAUUAUAGAAGUUGUAGUUCUUGUCGGAUGAAUUUUGUACGUAAUGAAAUUGUAGAUGGUUUAAUGAAAUAAUAAAAAAUAUUUUAUAUAAAGUAUUAUUUAUUUCAUGAAGUAAUAGCAAUAGUUAAAUUUAUAACAUUUAAAUUAAAAACUAUCAAUAUUAAUAUAUAUAUUUUAAAAUUAUUUUAUAACUUUAAUUUCAAAAGCAUUCUUAACCAAACACAUUAAACUACUUUUUGUUCAACCUUAAUUUCAAAAAUAGUUUUAACCAAACAUCUAUUUUUUCAAACCAACCUCAAUUAAAAUUAUUUUUUUCAAACCACAACCACAACGGCUACCGCAAUAUCAAACACACUCUUUGUAUUUUUGUUUGUUUGUUUUUUUACGGGAAAAUCUUGUUCUCUUGACUUUAAUCGCGAGUUUGAUAUUUAUAUUUACUUAAAAUGUUUAUUUGUAUCUGUUUUAAAAAAAAUAUGUUAUCCUUUAAUAUUUGAUUUAUUAAAAUUGACUAAUUUAUUUUAAUUUGUAUUUUAUGGUUUAUCAUAAUCUCAUGACUCGAAUCUUAAAUUGAUCUGAAAAUUAUUUAUCACCGUCUUAAUUUUUUUAAAAAAUAUAUCAUAUGUAUCUCAUAAUCUUAAUAUUUUUAAAGGUGUCAUUCUAUAUACAUUAGAUUUUAAAUUUUCUAAAAUCUUUUAUACUUUAUAGUUAGAAAAAAUAAUUUAACUCACAAAGCUUAACUAAUUACAACAACAUUUAAUGAAAAAGACAUAAAUAAAUAUUUAAAUAUGAGAUAAUUAUGACAUUUGUAUUAUUCAAUAUACCAGAAAUUAUAUUUUAAUUUUUAUAAAAAUAUAAAAAUCACAUCCAACAUGACAAUAGUUCAGAAACCUUAUCUAUCUUUAUACGAUAAAAAAAAAAGAAAAAAAAGAAUACAACACGAAACAUAUCGAAUAAUUCUUUUUUUGUUCAUAUUACACAGCAUCGACAUCAUCUAGUCAUGAUCUUUUGUUUCAAAUUUCAACCUUAAAUUUGAUUCUGGACGUUUCAUCAAAAUUCGGGUUUUUUUUUUUUUUUGUUGGGCUUGUGCUGGUAUGUUGUGCCAGCUAUUUUUUGGACGGGCAGGGCUUUUGUACUUCUACUGUAUGCCAUGGAUUUAACCCACUUGUUGUGGGUUCAUUAAAACCAACAUCUUUCUAUUUAAAUCAAAGUUAUUAAACCCAGCAAAGCUAAUAAUCACAUUUAAAAUUAAAUUACAGGUUAAAUAAAUAAAUUAAAAUAAUAUAAUAUAUUUUUUAAAAAAGUCUCAUUUCUCAAAACACAACCCAUGUUAUGUUUUAAUUUUACCAGCCGAGUCGAGCUAGAUUAAUUAAUGAUUAUUUAAACAUAUAACAAAUUAUUUAUUAAUAAUUAAAAAUGUAUCGUACCGCAAUAAAAAUUAUGUAAUGGUUCUCUCUCUCUCUCUGUUUAAGUUCGUUGAUGCAGUAGCAUAACAGACUAUCUUUUUCCAAACUUUCAUGUGUUUGUUUGUCAUUAGAAAAGUUGGUAAGCGGAAAAUACUUUCUGGUAAACGAAAAAUACUUUCCAGUCAAUUUUAGUCAAUGAAAAAUUUGAUUUGGUUUUCAAGAAAGUGUUUUUUCUUUAGCUGUGUUUGUUUUCCGGAAAGUAGUUUCUGGAAAAUCACUUUCCAAACUUUUUUGUGUUUGUUUGUCAUUAGAAAAGUUGAUCAAUGAAAAACAAUUUAUAGUAAAAGGAAAAUUUAGCUUGGUUUUCAGGAAAGUGUUUUCCUAAAAAAUUUGGUGGAAAACACUUUCUGGAAGUUGUGAAAAAUUUAGAAAUAUCAUUAUUUGCUGAUUAUAUUAAAUUUGAUCCUUAAACUUUUGAUCGCUAUAUAUAUAUUUUGUUUUUAAUAUUUAUUUUUAAUUUCAUCUCUUAAAAUUUUAUUUUUAUAUUAACUUUGGUCCUUAUUUUUAUAAUUGCUAUUUGCUUUUUUCUUAUCAUUUUUUAUUGAAAUUUUUUAUUUAUCAUAUUUGGUCCUCAUUCUUUUGAUUGUUAUUUAUUUUAUUUGAAAUAAUUUAUGAAAUGUUGAUUAUUAUUAUAAUUUCUUUAUCUUUUAUUUUUUUAAUUUUUUAGAUUUGAUCUCUAUUAUUUUGAUUAUUAUUUAUUUUAUUUGAGAUAAUUUAUGAAAUUAUAUAUUUUUUUCAAUUUCAUUCUCAUUCAACUUUUUAAUUUGUAAGAUUUGUUUCUUAUUAUUUUAAUAAACUUGAGAAAAAUAAAAUGUUAAUAAGUUAUUUUCCAGCUUAUUUUCCAUGACAUAACCAAACACUGGAAAGUGUUUUCCAGCUUAUUUUCCAUUACACUACCAAACAUCGGAAAAUACUUUCUCGGAAUUCACUUUUCCAGAACUCACUUUCCCUGUAAUUUACUUUCCAAAAAAAAAAACUAUUUUCCAGCAAAUAAAUAGAGCCUUAGAACUAACCAGCUUUGUCUCUUAGCAUCGCUAAUUAUGUGGAGAGUAUGGUGUAAUUUUUCCAAGGUAAUGGUUGCUGCCUGUACUAGUGACUAAAAGCGAUAAAACAAGCACGGGUUAAAAAGAUAGAAAAAUAAAUAGAAUAAAUAUAGACUCAUAUUAAAUUACAAGUUUAUUUUAGAGGAUAAUUAAUUAGAAACCGAACUAAAUUUCCUUAGACCAAAAAUCCUUAUUAAACUUAUCUUAUAGGAUAUAAGGAUAAGAAUAGGGAUAGGUUACCGGGGGAGUUGGAAUAUAAUAUAAAUAAAUAGGUUUUGAAGUUAAAAUGCAUCCAUGCAUUAUAUGAUUUAUUAUUAAAAAUUAAUAUUAUUUAAUCAAUGAUGAUAAAUUUAUUUCAUAUUAAAAUCCAUUUUCAUAAGACCUAUAGCUGAAGGGGUCGAGAAAAAAAAAAGAGAUUCAUUAUAAAAUCUUGAUAGAAGUCAAAACCCAUAAGAAGAGGGUUUGGAGAGAUGCUAGGCCUAAUUUUUUUAGACUCGGCUAUAUGCUAGGCCUAAACAUCUACAGGUCUAGUAAGAUGUCAAGUCCAACCUUUUAAACUCGGCUAUGCAUCAAGCCCAAGCGUCGUGGGUCUAGCAAGAUACCGAACCUAACUCCCUUGAAAUUGGUUACACGCUAGGUCCAAACGUUUGCGAGUCUGUUAAAAUGUGAGGCUAAAAAAAAGCCUGAAGUUGGGCAUUGUUCUGGAUAAUCUUAGGUCUAAAGACUUUUGAGCCUAACUUUCGCUAGAUUCGCAGGUGCUUGGCUCUGACAUGUAGCCGAUCUUAAAGGAGUUGGGUUCAGUAUCUUGCAAAACCCGCGACACAUGGACCUGGCGUGUAGCCGAGCUCAAGGGAUUUGAGUUUAGCAUCUUGCCAGGCCUAUAGAUGCUUGAGUCUAACAUGUAGCCGAUCUCAAAAAAAUUAAGUAUAGCAUCUUUCAAUACCCUCUUUUCAUAGGUUUUGACUUGUAUCAAACUUUUAUAAUGAGUCUUUUUUUUUUUUUCUAAACCUCUUUAGUCAUCAACCCCUUUAGUCAUGGGUCUUAUAAAAGUGGAUUUUAGUAAGAAAUAAAUCAACCAUCAUUGAUUAAAUAAUUGUUCAUUAUUCAUACACUAAAAAACUAAAGUUUCCUGGCAUGCUGGAUUAUGAGAAUCGUCACUUAAAAUAUAUAAUUUUAUAUUGAAUAUAAACUAAAAAAGAAAGUUAAAGUGAAAAAAAUUAAAAAGAGGACUAAAAAAACACAGAAAUAUUUAAAAGCUAAAUGGUUGAAGGACUUUAAAGUGCUUUGUGGAAGUGAUAAUAGUGUGCAUUGCACGUGACAUCCUUGGUCCACUAAAUAGAAGAAAGAAUUAAAAAAAUAGAAAACAAUCUGAGUUGAAUAAAUUAUCCAGCGACUCUUUUUAGUCGUGAAUAGCAGCACCUCGAGACUUGACGAUUUUAUCCUAAAAGUAUUGAGUGAAAAUCAAAUCUGACUUGAUUUCCUCACCACCAAUUUCAUUUACUGGUUUUAUGCAUUGAAUAAUUUGUUUUGACCUUUUUUGUCUGAAUUGUCUGAAUUUAACAUUAAAUGUCUGAACUGUUUCAAUAUCAAUAUCUUGUCGGCCGAUAGACGCAUCUCCCAACGAUGUGGUAGAACCCUCCUUUCUCAACCAUAAGAUUCAACUGAAAAGCGAUAUUCAUUCCAAAAUGCCAUUGAAAAAAAAAAUUUAAAGAUUAAGACGAUGUUCUUAGAAGAGCAUUGGUGAUUAGAGUGAGAUCAUUUGGCUGCUCGGUAUGCUUGGGAAGCAUAGUUUUGAGCUUGUCCCUUAUGUUUCUAAUAACGCAGUUAGGUCAUCAUUUCUCUUAAUAUAACCUCUCUAGAUUGGGGCCCUACAAUUUGACUUAAUUAUUAUGUUAAUUCCUAAACAAUUUGACGUUGUAAAUGUUGCUAGCUUCAGUAACUUGUUAUAAUUUCAAAGAUGGAUGAAGUUUAUUUGGUUUUACUUGGUUAAAGAUGAUAUACAUGCUAAAAUUAUCAUAAAGUCUCAAUGUUUAUGGUUGUGUAGUUUCCAACAUUGAUGUGAGGUUAUUUGAGAGUGUUUUUUAAAAAUGUUUUUAAAAAAGUUUAAUUUUUUUUUAAAUUAAUAUGUUUUUGAUGUAUUAAUCUUAAAAAUAAAUUUUUAAAAAUAAAAAAUAUUAUUAAUAUAUUUUUCUGAAUUAAAAAUAAUUUAAAAAACAAUAAUAAUCACGUUCUUAAACAAGGGCAAGUUUAAUUCUUUUGAUACUUUAAUGAUUUUGUACUUGACAAAUUAAUCUGGAAAUCAACCUCUUAAUUAGUGGUAGCCAUUAAGGGCCUCAGUGUUACUCCGUACUUUGUGAACAUAGUAAAUAUACUGUUUGUCAUCAUGUGAGUGAGCUGCAUCCUAAACUGACAUGCAUCACUUGGAAGGUCAUCAAUAACAUUAAAAAAAAAAAAACCUAAAAGGAAGGUAAAAUUACAAGGGCCUAGAACACAUUUUACUAUUCACAUGAUAGUAUAAUAACUUUUUUUUUUUAAAAGUUUUUUGACGUAACAUAUUACUUAUUAUAAAUUGAUUGAAGAUAGAUAUAUCUCUUUCUAUUUUUUACACAUUAAAAUUUCUCUUAAAAGUGAAAUAUUUCAGAAAAAAAAUGUUGUACCCAAGGGCUUUUUCCUUUUUUCAUCAUGUUUUUUUUAAUAUUUAAUAUCAAGUUGGUCAAUUAGCCUUUUAAUAAAUAUAAAAUAUUAUAUUGAUAAAAUAAUUAUUAAUACGUGAGAGACAUAUAUUAUUGUGCGGGGAGUGCCUAUAGCCUUCUGGUUGUGUGUGUAACAAGUCUUGAUAGCAUAAACACCCUUUGGUUGGAAUCUUAACGACAUCUUCUUCUUAUUAAGGUGGUGUGCGGCAUAGUUUUAAAACCCGACCUGAUGAUCGACCCGGUCUAAUGACCGGGUCACGGGUCUGAUGGGUUGAUCCGGGUCAACCCAAAAAAAAAAGAGACAUGUGUUAGCUUCGAAAAAAAAAGAGUCAAGUUUGAAAAAC
This 18289-nucleotide long non-coding RNA is filed under the name Populus tremula. Its description in RNAcentral is "long non-coding RNA (PTRE_LNC002843)". Lineage: Eukaryota; Viridiplantae; Streptophyta; Magnoliopsida; Malpighiales; Salicaceae. The record is from RNAcentral.